Long non-coding RNA from Chiroxiphia lanceolata (lance-tailed manakin), 1101 nucleotides. RefSeq lists it as uncharacterized. Lineage: Eukaryota; Metazoa; Chordata; Aves; Passeriformes; Pipridae. The transcript is spliced from 3 exons. The record is from RefSeq and is a predicted model, not a curated record.
UGAAACAGCCACAUACAAUUACAGUUUCUAUAUGCUGUAAGCCUCUGCAUGUAACUGCUACUUCUGGAGUCCUACCUAGGGCACGGGCAUCUUCACUGCAAAACAGACAAGAGUAUCACGGAUCUUGCCCUGAGAAAAGCUCGCUGCCUGUUUCUGGAGCUCUGCAGGCAAGACGCUUUCACCCAGAAAAGAAAAUCUUUUGCAGUCAGCAGUGCUGUGUAGCACUACUUCAUCUCUACUACCAAGAUCCUGUUUAGGAUCCUCCAUCCAUAGGCAGAACUCAGUCUCUGUUGUGGUCUUGCCACAUAGCUGGGAUGGACACCCUGACUGUAAAGUGUUCCUGCAGGAAGACGGCUCUUCAGGAGUUACUGGAGACAAACAGGUGAUUUUUCAUGCUCUAGAUAUGACAGAGGGAGGAAAUAGAGUUCCUGGUUCUCACAUUUUAAGAUAAAAGAAAUGAGAAACUCCUGCCAUGAUCAUAGCACAGUCUCAAGAUGUAUUUGGCCUUUUACCCUUUCCUUGGAAGUAAUUUGUCCUGUCACCACUGGAACAGGUCAUUUCAAUACAGGGGUCAUCACCCCUUCCCCUGGAAAUAGCAGUUUUCAAUGUUCCUAGAAGGCAUCAUUUGGGGCUUUCACAAAAACUAACCAGCUGGGUUCUUUCAAGAUCCAGUAGGCAGAUGCCCUGGAGAUUAAAUGUAAUAAAUCUGUCCUUAGGUGUGACUGAAUGCAUCUUCUUGACAGCUUGUGACCUGCUGCUGAAACAACUUCAAAAUACUUUAUUUCCUAAGGGAGGCUCUACUCAUAGUAAUGCACAAUAUUUUCUAGGUUAGGAAGAAAGACUCUGGUUGACAAAAGGAAUCAGUGGCUGCCCGGCCUGCCUUCUCUCCUCAAGCACAAAUUAGGAUAUUAGAGUAUAUACUUGACAGCUGAGAGCAUAUCAGUGAAAAGCUAUUAUCUUCCAUUAAAAGCAAAAAGUCUGCACUGAAUUUUACUUAUUUGUUCUUUCUAUUCCCUGACUGAGGAAAAGAAGCAUCUAAUAAAACAUUCACCCACACUUAAAACUUAAUGCCACACUUCGUGGAAGAUAAACAUUUUCGUU